This 468-nucleotide ribosomal RNA is filed under the name uncultured bacterium. Its description in RNAcentral is "partial 16S ribosomal RNA". It matches the Rfam family "Bacterial small subunit ribosomal RNA", at positions 28 to 507 of the family's 1533-position model. The record is from RNAcentral.
GAUGAACGCUGGCGGCGUGCUUAACACAUGCAAGUCGAACGGAAAGGCCCAAGCUUGCUUGGGUACUCGAGUGGCGAACGGGUGAGUAACGCGUGGGUGAUCUGCCCUGCACUUCGGGAUAAGCCUGGGAAACUGGGUCUAAUACCGGAUAGGACGAUGGUUUGGAUGCCAUUGUGGAAAGUUUUUUCGGUGUGGGAUGAGCUCGCGGCCUAUCAGCUUGUUGGUGGGGUAAUGGCCUACCAAGGCGUCGACGGGUAGCCGGCCUGAGAGGGUGUACGGCCACAUUGGGACUGAGAUACGGCCCAGACUCCUACGGGAGGCAGCUGUGGGGAAUAUUGCACAAUGGGCGCAAGCCUGAUGCAGCGACGCCGCGUGGGGGAUGACGGCCUUCGGGUUGUAAACUCCUUUCGCUAGGGACGAAGCGUUUUUGUGACGGUACCUGGAGAAGAAGCACCGGCUAACUACGUG